This 497-nucleotide ribosomal RNA is filed under the name uncultured bacterium. RNAcentral's name for it is "partial 16S ribosomal RNA". It matches the Rfam family "Bacterial small subunit ribosomal RNA", at positions 28 to 507 of the family's 1533-position model. The record is from RNAcentral.
GAUGAACGCUGGCGGCGUGCCUAAUACAUGCAAGUCGAGCGAACGGACGAGAAGCUUGCUUCUCUGAUGUUAGCGGCGGACGGGUGAGUAACACGUGGAUAACCUACCUAUAAGACUGGGAUAACUUCGGGAAACCGGAGCUAAUACCGGAUAAUAUUUUGAACCGCAUGGUUCAAAAGUGAAAGACGGUCUUGCUGUCACUUAUAGAUGGAUCCGCGCUGCAUUAGCUAGUUGGUAAGGUAACGGCUUACCAAGGCAACGAUGCAUAGCCGACCUGAGAGGGGGAGAGGCCAAAAUGGAACUGAGAAAAGGUCAAGACUAGGAAGGGAGGAAGAAGGAGGGAAUAUGAAGAAAUGGGCGAAAGCAUGAAAGAGCAAAGAAGGGGGAGUGAUGAAGGGCUUAGAAGCGUAAAACUCUGGGAUUAGGGAAGAAAAAAGGGGGAAGUAAAUAGGGACGUCUUGAAGGUAAAAAAUAAGAAAGACACGGCUAACGACGUG